RNAcentral lists this ribosomal RNA (468 nucleotides) under uncultured bacterium. RNAcentral describes it as "partial 16S ribosomal RNA". It matches the Rfam family "Bacterial small subunit ribosomal RNA", at positions 28 to 507 of the family's 1533-position model. The record is from RNAcentral.
GACGAACGCUGGCGGCGUGCUUAACACAUGCAAGUCGAACGGAAAGGCCCUGCCUUUGUGCGGUGCGCGAGUGGCGAACGGGUGAGUAACACGUGAGUAACGUGCCAUUGACUUUGGGAUAACUUAAGGAAACUGGGGCUAAUACCGCAUAGGAUCUCUUGCUGCAUGGUGGGGGCGGGUAAGUUUCGGCGGUUGGGGAUGGACUCGCGGCUUAUCGGCUUGGUGGAGGGGUAGUGGGUUACCAAGGCUUUGACGCGUAGCCGGCCUGGUAGGGGGAGCUGCUCCGUUGCGCUUGGGCUGAGGCACGGCCUCGACCGGUACGCGGCGGUGGAGUAUAUUGCACUGUGGGCGGGGGGCUAAUGCAGUAACGCCGUGCGCGGGGUGUGGGCCAGCGGGUUGUGUAGCGCUUUUGCCUUACACGAGGCGUUAGUGACGGUACCGGGUGAAUAAGCUCCGGCUAACUACGUG